This 1507-nucleotide long non-coding RNA is filed under the name Oryctolagus cuniculus (rabbit). RNAcentral describes it as "lncRNA (ENSOCUG00000030017.1)". The record is from RNAcentral. Lineage: Eukaryota; Metazoa; Chordata; Mammalia; Lagomorpha; Leporidae.
GUGUGUGUGCACAACUGGGAGCCUGUGCUCGGGUGUCCACGUGUGCACCUGUGUGUGCAUCUGUACAUGGAUGUCCAUGUGUGCACCUGUGUGUGUGCAUCUAUGCACGGGCGUCCACAUGAGCACCUGUGUGUGUGCAUCUAUGCACGGGCGUCCACAUGUGCACCUGUGCAUGGAUGUCCACGUGUGCACCUGUGUGUGCACCUGUGCAUGGGUGUCCAUGUGAGCACCUGCGUGUGUGGGCAUCCAUGUGUGCACCUGUGUGUGUGCACCUGUGCUAUGGGCGCCCAUUCGUGUGCGCACAGGCACCUGCACUCGUGCAUCUGAGCGUGUAGGUGGGUGUACACCUGUGCAUGUAGGCACCUGUGCACUGCAUGCCUGCGUGUGUGUGCAAGUGUGCACAUCUGUGCGCGUGUUGGGGGUGGGGAGCGCCUGCUGCCUGUGGAGCUAACGGGGUGCAGGCUGGGGGCACUGUACCCGCCCGGCAGCUCUUCCGACCUUCACCAGCCAAUGCAGCCACUUCCUCUGGCCCCCACACCGCAGCGCGUUCACUCCUCAGCCACGCACAGCCACAGCACCAAGGCACGGAGUUCCAGAGCCUGGUCACCUGGCUGCGCGUCCCCAGCUGCGAGACUUCGGGCAAGAGUGACCUGGCUCCCUAGGCCUCAGUUUGCCCGUCUGUUAAAGGGGGAUGGCGAGAGUACCACCCUCACAGGGGGGUCCCGAGACCGGCACUGCUGUCACGCACUCACACACACCACGGGCCGAGGAAGCCGGCUCCAGGCCAGGGCUGGAAAGCGGGGGCGGGUGCUCCCCCAGGGGUCCCUGCUCCCCAAGGCUGAGCCUUGUGCUGCCCAGUGGCUGUGCCCCCAGCAGCUGUCCCCGGGACUGAAUGGGACCGCGCUGGGAGGCGCGGCCAGGGAGUGCAGGUGCCCACGAGGGUGCGGUCGGGAGGAAACCGCGGCACCACUCAGGGAACCAGGACCCGCGCCAGGACUCAGGGAACCAGGACCCGCGCAGGGGCUCAGGGAACCAGGACCCGCGCCAGGACUCAGGGAACCAGGACCCGCACCAGGACUCAGGGAACCAGGGCCCGCGCCAGGACUCAGGGAACCAGGACCCGCACCAGGACUCAGGGAACCAGGGCCCGCGCCAGGGCUGGGGCCGCAGAACUCACGCCUGCGACUCGUUUAUUCCAAGCAUCCUGCUGGACAGGGGCAGCCGCCGCGCGGGUGACGGCGGCGAGGCCAGGCCCAGGCCUCUCACUUGGGUCACGCUCCGGGGGGUUCCGCCUCUCUGGGGGGAACACGCCAGGGGGCGAGGGGAGCCUUUAUCUCCCGCUGGCCACAGCCCCCGCGCGUGGUGUCAGCUUUGCUGCAGCUGGAAGGGUCCACACAAAAGGGACAGGCUUGUGCCAGCAGAGUGACAGCCGAGGGCUGACCGGUUGACAGCCGGGGCUGCGCCUUCCCCCUUCCGCUCACAGCCACACACCGCUGCCGCCCUUCCC